Molecule: long non-coding RNA, 386 nt
Filed under: Pan paniscus (pygmy chimpanzee)
Lineage: Eukaryota; Metazoa; Chordata; Mammalia; Primates; Hominidae
Description: lncRNA (ENSPPAG00000045137.1)
Source: RNAcentral
GAAUAUUUCAUUCCGUUAAUGGUACAAUAAGAUCCCCUCACUGACCUCAGAAUUUUCUCCAAAACAGCAGAUGUUCCUGGAUGGUCAUUAUUCACAAAAGUAAACACUUGGAGAUCAGCUUUGACACAACUUCCUAAUCCCCAGUGGUAAUGGACAAUGUCAGAAUAGCUUCGUGAAGGUGUGGGCAGGAACUGAGGAGGUUGACAAAGCCCUGCUAGCCACUGGCUUUGGGAACGUGGCUCUGGGUCUCAUCAUCAUUCCAAGUAACACAUUCACUGCCAUCUUCCAGUCUCAGGAGGCACCAGCUCAGGGCUUCUCUGCGUCCUUUGUUAGCUGAUGUGGAAGAAAUUUCACUGGCCCUUCAGGUUAUAUCGUUUCUCCAAAUU